GAUGAACGCUGGCGGCGUGCCUAAUACAUGCAAGUCGAGCGAACGGACGAGAAGCUUGCUUCUCUGAUGUUAGCGGCGGACGGGUGAGUAACGCGUGGAUAACCUACCUAUAAGACUGGGAUAACUUCGGGAAACCGUAGCUAAUACCGGAUAAUAUUUUGAACCGCAUGGUUCAAAAGUGAAAGACGGUCUUGCUGUCACUUAUGGAUGGAUCCGCGCUGCAUUAGCUAGUUGGUAAGGUAACGGCUUACCAAGGCAACGAUGCAUAGCCGACCUGAGAGGGUGAUCGGCCACACUGGAACUGAGACACGGUCCAGACUCCUACGGGAGGCAGCAGUAGGGAAUCUUCCGCAAUGGGCGAAAGCCUGACGGAGCAACGCCGCGUGAGUGAUGAAGGUCUUCGGAUCGUAAAACUCUGUUAUUAGGGAAGAACAUAUGUGUAAGUAACUGUGCACAUCUUGACGGUACCUAAUCAGAAAGCCACGGCUAACUACGUG
This 497-nucleotide ribosomal RNA is filed under the name uncultured bacterium. RNAcentral describes it as "partial 16S ribosomal RNA". It matches the Rfam family "Bacterial small subunit ribosomal RNA", at positions 28 to 507 of the family's 1533-position model. The record is from RNAcentral.